UUAGGAUUAGCAAUGAGUCAAAUCGAGUUCAAAUAUUGUGAUUAUGCAACUAUGCAAAUAGAAGAGAUAAACUAUGAGAGAGAGUGUGUGUGAAUAUGUUGUACACCGUGCAAAAGAUGGGUAAACAACCAAUAGUGAGAGACAGAGAGAGAGAACAUACACAAUCUGUCCCUCUCUCUCUUUUUCAGACACACACUCUAUCUGUCUCUCUCUUUCACACACAAACAAAUGUAUACCUUUUUUGGUCAACAAUUACAAUUGCAAUACUAACACCGAGGGAGCUAUACAAAUCUUUUGGCAAGUAUUUCAUAAAAUGCAGGAGAAGAACUUCAGUUUCAGACUUCUAAGUGAUUACCACGUCAAAGUAAUAAAAUCUUUAAGGAUAGCCCUCUUCUCGUCAUUGUAGUGAAGAAAAAAUGCGAGACCACCAACUCCACCCAAAACAGUACCAUGCUGCAAAAGACAAACUAAGUGAAUAAAAAUGGCAGGGAAAAAACAAACUAAUAAAAAGAUGUGUGAACAGGAGAAUUAAAAGAAAGCAAGAAAGUUCAGUCAUAAAAGGUUUUCAAAGAAAAGAGCAAGUUAAUUAGCAUACAACUAUAUAAGGUCUCCAGGAAUUAGAGGUGUUUUUUGGAGGCAAUAAAGGACGAGAGUUUGUGCUCUUUGCUGAUUGCAAACAUCUGCCAGAGUGGAAACUCUUACAGGGAAUAAACCUACAGUAGUAUAAAAAGAAACAAUAUCAUUAGCUUUAAUGUGCCAAGAAGGAGGUUCAGGGCUGUGUCUCUGUGUGUGUGUGCGUGAGAGAGAGAGAUCCCAGGAAGGAAAAGAAGACUUGCAAGCUUAGAAGAGGAUUUAUGUUUUACAACUUCAUUCUGCCACAACAUUUUGUCUCAUUUGAAUAACUCUAACAAAUAUCCUCAAGAUUAGACUAUUUCACUUUUCUUGCACAUACUGAGCCCCAACCAUAUAAACAAAACUCAAUUGAACUCAAUUUGAAUAUGUGCAUGAACAUGCAUCAACAAAUUGACAUGCCAUCAAUGUCAGCAGCAAGAUUGUAUAGUGAAAAAUUAGUCAUGUACAUACACAAAAAAAAAAAAAAUGCAUAGGUUCCUCAUUAAAUCCAAAAGCCUCAAGUCCAAGUCUUAAAACAUUCAAGCUUUAUAUAUUGAUGAAAGUUUGUGUGUACUAAAUCACGAGAACAGGAAUAAUGGCGAAUCAGAGGGACAUCUCUACCCAGAGAGUUGCAUUUUCUUUUCAAUAUCCUGCAGAAGUCUCCUAGAGUAGUUCAACGUGCUUUGAAAUGUUCUGAUUGAACAAUAAGAAACUCGCUCAUCCAGGUCAUGCAAAAAUUUAGUAAAAUUACUGGCAAAAUGAAAUUUCUAAUGAUAUCUCAGAAAAAACCAACUAAGUUGGUCUUUGCCUCCACAAAGAAUCUUCAUCAGCAACUUAAACAGGAAAUGGCAGUUUCUAACCAUCCAUCUGACAUCCUUCAGCACGAUAGUUUUUAUAGCUGACAACCUGACCAGUAAUAGAAUACUCCGUUUCUUAUUCAAGUCCACUAACACUAAAUUCAUCAUCAGUUUAUUUCUACAUAUCUUGAUGAUAAUCCACCUCUGCUGUGAUACAUCACCAGAGAGAUAAUAAUAAAAAAAAAUCACUGCCAAAAUGCCUAACAUGAUAAGUACUGGAUAUCCUCCUUAAAACGCAUUCAUUAUGAUUGAAAUGAAAUAUGCUUUCAUAUCUCUCAAUCUUACCGCACAGAUAAUAAAACUUUGAUAUCUAUAAUCUACACAGAGAGAAUAAGGGUAAUGAAUAUUUUUACAUAACCAAUUGUACAUCUCUUAUGUUGAUUCGAUCAGCAAAUAUGGCAAACGUUCAAGGAUUGGCAAAACAACGAAGUCAUGCAGAAUAAUCACAUUGCCCAAGUAAUGCAGAAUACUGCCUUGGAAUCUCUUACUCUUCUAAAUCAAACAAACAAACCUCAUAAGAUACAUGCUAUUUUGUACGUUCUAAGCCUCCAUUAUUUUAGAUUUACCAUUUCGCAUUUUCAACCGCUCAAGCUAAGAACAGUUGACUAAAAAUCUAUAUGAGCCCAUUUCCAACGAGACUUUGCAAACUCCUCCUUGGCCAUAAUGCAUUAAGGAAAUCUCAGAAAAACUUGAAAAUUAAACUCAACCCAGAAGAAAACUAAAGAGUUGAAUUGCAGAGUAAUCAAACAAACAAAAAUCAUCACCUGAAAUAAAUUACUAAACAAAGCUCACAUGCUUAAACAUGAAAACAAACUAUACCCACAAAAAAAAUCUAUCAAAAUAUGCCAAAAAAAACAACAUAGAUAUGUGAUGUGUUAUACCUUUUUAGAGUAUUAAAGGAUUCUGCAGAGAGAUUUCUUAAGAAGGAGAAGAUAACCCUUGACAUUGAUAUUGGUACUGAUACUUUUUCCCCCCCUUUUCCUUCUCAAUUUUCUACUUUCUUUUACAAAUUUGGCACAUGGGUAAGUGGGGUUUUCUUUAUUUUGCAAUAAAUUUUGCCUGACCACAAACAGAAUGCAAGAAUACAGAAAAUAGGUUCACAAAAAUCUGUAAUAUUCUUCACCAAAAACAAUGUUCAAGUUGGCCAUUUAAAGGUAAAAAAAGGAAGGAGAAAAUCGCAUCUAACAGUAUGAAACCAAAACAGACAUGCAAAGAUGAAUCCUCCCAAAUUUUAUCAGAGGCAUACAAGGCAAUGACAAAAUGUAAUUACAACCUCCCACCCAAAUAUUCAGUAGAUAGCCCAACCCAAGCUAGAAAUUUCCAUCUUCAAUGAUGUCAGUGACCCAUUUGGCAACGUGGUAAUUAGAAAAAAAAAAAAGAAAUGCUAAAAAGUAUCGAUUAGGCCAACCUCAGGUAGUUUACUGUAGCUGAAUAAUGAAACGGGUCAGAUGAAAUGCCCGAAUUGGCUGAACAGAGAAUCCAAGAUGUCUAUCUUUCUUUAUUGAUAGAAAGAAACAACAUCAAAAUUGAC
Molecule: long non-coding RNA, 3000 nt
Filed under: Coffea arabica (coffee)
Lineage: Eukaryota; Viridiplantae; Streptophyta; Magnoliopsida; Gentianales; Rubiaceae
Description: long non-coding RNA (CARA_LNC004296)
Source: RNAcentral